Molecule: ribosomal RNA, 253 nt
Filed under: uncultured bacterium
Lineage: Bacteria
Description: partial 16S ribosomal RNA
Rfam family: Bacterial small subunit ribosomal RNA
Source: RNAcentral
UACAGAGGGUGCAACCGUUGUUCGGAAUUACUGGGCGUAAAGCGCGUGUAGGCGGCUAUGUAAGUCGGGCGUGAAAUCCCACGGCUCAACCGUGGAAGUGCACCCGAAACUGCGUAGCUAGAGUCCUGGAGAGGAAGGUGGAAUGCUUGGUGUAGAGGUGAAAUUCGUAGAUAUCAAGCGGAACACCGGUGGCGAAGGCGGCCUUCUGGACAGUGACUGACGCUGAGACGCGAAAGCGUGGGGAGCAAACAGG